This 264-nucleotide ribosomal RNA is filed under the name uncultured bacterium. Its description in RNAcentral is "partial 16S ribosomal RNA". It matches the Rfam family "Bacterial small subunit ribosomal RNA", at positions 57 to 305 of the family's 1533-position model. The record is from RNAcentral.
GCAAGUCGAGCGAGAAAGUGCCUUCGGGUGCGGGUAAAGCGGCGCACGGGUGAGUAACACGUAGGCAAUCUACCUUUAGGCGGGGGACAACGUUCCGAAAGGAGCGCUAAUACCGCGUAAGACCCCGGCAACUCCGGUUGCAGAGGUAAAAGCUGGCCUCUUCUUGAAAGCUAGCACCUAGGGAUGAGCUUGCGGACCAUCAGCUUGUUGGUAGGGUAAUGGCCUACCAAGGCAAAGACGGAUAGCUGGUCUGAGAGGAUGAGC